GACGAACGCUGGCGGCGUGCUUAACACAUGCAAGUCGAACGGAAAGGCCCUGCUUUUGUGGGGUGCUCGAGUGGCGAACGGGUGAGUAACACGUGAGUAACCUGCCCUUGACUUUGGGAUAACUUCAGGAAACUGGGGCUAAUACCGGAUAUGAGCUCCUGCUGCAUGGUGUGGGUUGGAAAGUUUCGGCGGUUGGGGAUGGACUCGCGGCUUAUCAGCUUGUUGGUGGGGUAGUGGCUUACCAAGGCUUUGACGGGUAGCCGGCCUGAGAGGGUGACCGGCCACAUUGGGACUGAGAUACGGCCCAGACUCCUACGGUAGGCAGCAGUGGGGAAUAUUGCACAAUGGGCGGAAGCCUGAGGCAGCAACGCCGCGUGCGGGAUGACGUGCUUCGGGUUGUAAACCUCUUUCGCCUGUGACGAAGCGUGAGUGACGGUAAUGGGUAAAGAAGCACCGGCUAACUACGUG
Molecule: ribosomal RNA, 468 nt
Filed under: uncultured bacterium
Lineage: Bacteria
Description: partial 16S ribosomal RNA
Rfam family: Bacterial small subunit ribosomal RNA
Source: RNAcentral